AGAACAUUAGCUCUUCAAAAUGUGAUAUGCUAUAACAUCAAAAUAAAUAUUUGAAAUUUGAAUGCAUUUUUAUAAACGCGAAAUAUUUGUAAACAAUGCAUAAAGCAAUU
Bradysia coprophila is the source of this 110-nucleotide long non-coding RNA. The record is from RefSeq and is a predicted model, not a curated record. Lineage: Eukaryota; Metazoa; Arthropoda; Insecta; Diptera; Sciaridae.